This 2884-nucleotide ribosomal RNA is filed under the name Capsicum baccatum. RNAcentral describes it as "bacterial LSU rRNA". It matches the Rfam family "Bacterial large subunit ribosomal RNA". Lineage: Eukaryota; Viridiplantae; Streptophyta; Magnoliopsida; Solanales; Solanaceae. The record is from RNAcentral.
GAAAAGGCUUAUGGUGGAUACCUAGGCACCCAGAGAUGCGAAAAGGCGUAGUAAUUGAUGAAAUGCUUCGGGGAGUUGAAAAUAAGUAUAGAUCUGGAGAUUCCCAAAUAGGGCAACCUUUCAAACUUCUGUUGAAUCCAUGCGCAGGCAAGAGACAACCUGGUGAACUAAAACAUCUUAGUAGCCAGAGCAAAAGAAAGCAAAAGCGAUUCCUAUAGUAGUGACGAGAGAAAUGGGAGCAUCCUAAACUGUGAAAACGAGGUUGUGGGAAAGCAAUACAAGUGUCGUGCUACUAGGAGAAGCAACCUGAAUGAUGCACCAUAGAUGGAGAAAGUUUAGUAGGCAAAAGCAUCACUAGCUUAUGCUCUGACCCGAGUAGCAUGGGGAACAUAGAAUCCUAUGUGAAUGAGCAAGGACCACCUUGCAAGGCUAAAUACUCAUGGGUGACUGAUAGAAAAGUAGUACCGUGAGGGAAGGGUGAAAAAAACCACAUCGAGGAGUGAAAUAGAACUUGAAACCAUAAGCUCCCAAGCAGUGGGAGGAGCCAGGUCUCUGACCGCAUGCCUAUUGAAGAAUAAGCCGGCGAAUCAUAGGCAGUGGCUUGGUUAAGGGAACCCACCGGAGCCCUAACAAAAGUAAGUCUUCAUAGGGCAAUUGUCACUCCUUAUGGACCCGAACCUGGGUGAUCUAUCCCUGACCAGGAUGAAGCUUGGGUAAAACUAAGUGGAGAUCCAAACCGAAUAAUGUUGAAGAAUCAGUGGAUGAGUUGUGGUUAGGGGUAAAAUGCCACUCGAACCCAGAGCUAGAUGGUUCUCCCCGAAAUACGUUAAGGCACAAUAGUUAACUAGACAUCUAGGGGUAAAACACUAUUUCGGUGCAGGCCACGAGAGCGGUACCAAAUCGAGGCAAACUCUGAAUACUAGGUAUGGCAUUAAAAUUAAAAAAGAGGGGUCAAAGUCGGCUAGUGAGAUGAUGGGGGAUAAGCUUCAUCAUUGAGAGGGAAACAAAUCCGAUCACCAGCUAAGGCCCCUAAAUGGCCGCUCAAUGAUAAAGGAGGUAGGGUUACAACGAUAGCCAGGAGGUUUACCUAGAAACAACUACCCUUGAAAGAGUGCGUAAUAGCUUAUUGAUCAAGCGCUCUUGCAUCGAAAAUGAACGGGGAUGAGCAAUCUGCCAAAGCUGUGGGGUAUAAAAAUACAUCGAUAGGGGAGCGUUUCACCUUAGAGGGAAGCCUCCAUAUGAGCGGUGGUUGAUGAAGCGAAAGUGAGAAUGUCGGCUUGAGUAACACAAACAUUGGUGAGAAUCUAAUGCCUAAAAAACCUAAGGGUUCCUCUACAAGGUUCAUCCACGGAGGGUGAGUCAGGGCCUGUGAUUAGGCCAAAAGGCGUAGUCGAUGGACAAUAUGAGAAUAUUCAUAUAAUACCCUUUGUUGGUCCCGAGGGACGGAGGAGGCUAGGUUAGCCAAAAGAUGGUUAUUAGUUCAAGAACGUCAGGUGUCAAAGGUUAAGAAGGGGUAGAGAAAAUGCCUCGAGCCAAUGUUCAAAUACCAGGAUCUACGGCGCUGAAGUAACCUAUGCCAUACUCCUAGGAAAAGCUAAAACGACUUUGAGCAAGAGGGUACAUAUACUCGAAAUCGACACAAGUGGGUAGCUAGUGAAUACCUAGGGGCGUGAGACAACUCUCUCUAAGGAACUCGACAAAAUAGCCAUGUAACUUUGGGAGAAGAGGUUCCUCUUUACAUCACAAAGGGGGUCGCAGUGACCAAGUUCGGGCGACUGUUUACCAAAAACACAGGUCUCCACAAAGUCGUAAGAGCAUGUAUGGGGGCUUACACCUUCCCAAUGGUAGAAGGUCAAGGAAGUUGUUGGCCUGAUGACAGGGGAGACGACGACCGAAGCCCUAGUGAACGACGACCGUAACUAUAACAGUCCUAUGGUAGCAAACUUCCUUCUCAAGUAAGUUUCCACCCAUACGAAAGGCGUAAUGAUCUGGGAACUGUCUUAGAGAGAGGCUCGGUAAAAUCGACAUGUCUAUAAAAAUGCGGACUACCUGCACCUGGACAGAAAAACCCUAUGAAGCUUCACUAUUCCUUGGGAUUGAAUUUGGGCCUUUCCUGCGCAGCUUAGGUGGAAGGCAAAGAAGGCCUCCUUUCGGGGGGCCCCGAGCCAUCACUGAGAUACCACUCUAGAAGGGAUAAAAUUCUUACCUUGUGUUAGGACCUAGGGCCAAGGAACAAUCUCAGGUAGACAGUUUUAAUAGGGCGUAGGCCUCCAAAAGGUAACGGAGGCGUGCAAAGGUUUCCUAGGGACAGAAAGAGAUUGGCCCUUGAGUGCAAAGGUAGAAGGAAGCUUGAUUGCAAAACCCAUUCAUCGAGCAGGGAAGAAAGUUACUCUAGGGAUAACAGGCUGAUCUUCCCCAAGAGCUCACAUCGAUGGGAAGGUUUGGCACCUCGAUGUCAUCUCUUCACUAUUUGGGGCUGUAGUAUGUUCCAAGGGUUAGGCUGUUCGUAAAUGAAAGUGGUACGUGAGCUGGGUUCAGAACGUCGUGAGACAGUUUGGUCCAUAUUCGGUGUGGGUGUUUGAGCAUUGAGAGGACCUUUCCCUAGUACGAGAGGACUAGGAAGGACACACCUCUGGUGUACCAGUUAUCGUGGCCACGGUAAACGCUGGGUAGCCAAAUAUGGAGCAGAUAACUGCUGAAAGCAUCUAAGUAGUAAGCCCACUCCAAGAUGAGUGCUCUCCUAUUCUGACUUCCCCAGAGCUUCCAGUAGCACAAUCGAGAUAGCGAUGGGUUCUCUGCCCCUGUGGGGAUGGAGCGACAGAAGUUUUUUUGAGAAUUCAAGAGAAGGUCACAACGAGACAAGCCAUUUAUCAUUACGAUAAGU